AGCAUAACAAGAUAGAUGGGUUCCUAGGGGCCUUCUCCCGUCACCGUUCAUGUGACCGGAUUCAAGAGGUUCCAUGGAGUCGCAGACAACCCAACCGAGAAAAUCGUGCGCAAUCUCCAGUCAUUCGUGCAGAAGAGAGGGCUGCCCAAGGGACUUGUGCUUGGAAGCUGCACUGUCCUUGAGGCGGCCGGGCAGGGCGCACUAGGUCCAUUGUAUGAAUUGUUGGAGUCAACUGUCCAUGGCCGGGAAUAUGGAUCGCUGAAUCAGGAGCAAGUAAUUCUGCUCCAUUUUGGAGCCAACAGUGGUUCACUUAGGUUUGCUCUUGAGAAUCAAGCUGUUAAUGAAGCUACUUUCCGUUGCCCUGAUGAGCUAGGAUGGAAACCACAGAGGGUUCCUAUCAUGUCAUCGGAUGGAAGCAUCUUGCAUGCAAGACAGACUACAUUGCCAGUGAAGGAAAUAAGCAAAUCUCUCCAACAAAUGGGAUACGAUGUGAUGCCUUCAGAUGAUGCUGGUCGAUUUGUGUGCAACUAUGUCUAUUACCACUCUCUUAGGUUUGCGGAGAAUCAUGGUAUCAGGUCACUCUUCGUUCAUUUCCCCCUCUUCUUGGCAAUUGAUGAGGAAGUUCAGAUGCAAUUUGUUGCUUCCCUUCUUGAAGUCCUCGCUUCCUUAAAAUUACAGUAAUCUAAUUGUCCACUCUUCCCAAUUUACAAGUGGUGUGAAUAAGAAUGGUCAAUCAUUCAUGGCAUUAUGUGUGCUCCAAAAUGUGUAUAAAAAAACUCUCUUAGAAAGCAUGUCCAUGUGGUCCUGAUGUCCAAAUAUCCAAAUGGGUCAUGUGUGCAUGUUCUCAGAGCUUAUGUUUCACUGUCUGAUGCUAUUCAGAACUUGUGUAUUUCCUCAUUAUGAACAACAUUUUUCUGAUUA
Panicum virgatum (switchgrass) is the source of this 921-nucleotide RNA transcript. It is a transcript of the gene named pyrrolidone-carboxylate peptidase-like, with no coding region annotated. The record is from RefSeq and is a predicted model, not a curated record. The transcript has 4 exons. NCBI's taxonomy places the organism in Eukaryota, Viridiplantae, Streptophyta, Magnoliopsida, Poales, Poaceae.